RNAcentral lists this long non-coding RNA (757 nucleotides) under Homo sapiens (human). Its description in RNAcentral is "HSALNT0191283". Lineage: Eukaryota; Metazoa; Chordata; Mammalia; Primates; Hominidae. The record is from RNAcentral.
CAACUGUAACAUUUGAUUGCUUGGGGCUGCCUGAAGCAUUUGGAGGAUGAGAGGAGAGCAUUUAUUUUCUUUUGGAGAGAAAUCUCAACAGUAUGGGCAUAGCUGGCUCCUUUUAUUCCUGCUUUUCAUCGUCUUUGGCUAAACUGCCAUGGAGACCUGGCCCCUUCUACCUUAUUUCAGACACUUCAAAGACCAGGGACUCCUUGGCUAGAUCUUGAAGAAAUGCCUCAGGACACUGAGGCAGACCCACUCACCUGAGUUCCUGAAGAUCAAGCAGAAAAUAUUCCAGCCUUCAAGAGCAGAGUAAAUCUCGUUAAGACCUCACCUACCUUUCCUUUGGCAUGUGACUGCUUCUUAACCUCAAGAAGAAAGAAAGGAAUUGAAAUCUCAGAUAAUUGAAUGUUCCUGAAACAUUACAUCUCUUCAGGUGAUGUGAUUCUGCUGAAUAAACAUAAGCCAUGUAAUUGAUGAGGGUCUAUGACAAGUGAUAUAAAGACAUAAACAUGUACUGUUUGUAUAAUGAUAUGCUGCGAGUCUAUUGAGGAAAACCACAUAAUGAUGGCACUUCUAGAUCAUUAUCUCCCAAGUGAUGACAAUAUUACAUUUUGAGAUCGUCAUCUUCACUGGGGAGAUGCAGACACUAAAAUUAAACCCAUCACAUUAUCUACUUUGGUCUUCCCCAAACAGAGGAUGGCGUCUUUCCAAAUAGAAAAAAAAAAAAGAAUAUGCUUUACUCAGUAUUUAGUAUUAAGAGUUU